RNAcentral lists this long non-coding RNA (500 nucleotides) under Setaria italica (foxtail millet). Its description in RNAcentral is "long non-coding RNA (SITA_LNC002671)". The record is from RNAcentral. Lineage: Eukaryota; Viridiplantae; Streptophyta; Magnoliopsida; Poales; Poaceae.
UCCAUAAUCACCACCCACCUACCACUAGCUACCAGCAUGGCCUCCCUCUCCUCUGCCGCCGUGACCGCCCCUUCCUUCGCCGCUGCCCGGCCCGCCCGCGCCGCCGUUGCCAGCCGACGGUCGUCUGUGGUGGUGCGCGCCUCGCUCGGCAAGGCCGCCGGCACCGCCGCCGUGGCCGUGGCUGCCAGCGCCCUGCUUGCCGGCGGCGCCAUGGCCCAGGAGGUGCUCCUGGGCGCCAACGGAGGCGUGCUCGUCUUCGAGCCCAGCGAGUUCUCCGUCAAGGCCGGCGACACCAUCACCUUCAAGAACAACGCCGGCUACCCGCACAACGUGGUCUUCGACGAGGACGAGGUGCCCAGCGGGGUGGACGCCGCCAAGAUCUCGCAGGAGGAGUACCUCAACGCGCCGGGGGAGACCUACUCCGUCACCCUCACCGUGCCGGGAACCUACAGCUUCUACUGCGAGCCGCACCAAGGAGCAGGGAUGGUCGGCAAGGUCAC